UAGGGUUUUGUUCGAAAUAAAAUAAGUUUUGGGUUUGCUUAGUCUCUCUUGCUCAAAGUAAAUCGCUCUUCCCUUUCGCUCACAGUCGUCUUCUAUCUCCAUACACAGAAACGCAAAUCGUCAAAUUGUCAUACUGGACCAACAUCAGAUCUCACGUCCUCUCGCCGUUGUGUCGAUGAGGACCAUUUUCCUCUGUCGCUACUAGGGCAAGUUGGUGUUCGUAUUUGUUGGUGAUGGUAAAGGUACGACGUGGUCUCUCGACACUUUCAAAGGGAUUGUAGAAAUUGGCAAGUUAGGUAAUUACGUGACUAUGCCAAUCAUUCUUACUUUUGCCAACAAUCCCCGCAACCUCAGCAAGUUCAUACGAAAUGUUGUUGUGAACAAACUUAAAAGGAAUGGAUUCCAAGGAAUCGGGGAAUUUCUUGUAGAGGAAACUAGCAAUUGUAGCAAUGUGCAUUCAGGAGGAAGCACAUACUCGACCUUUGAUCAGUGACAUGGUUAAAACCAUUAAUUUUUUAGCAAAGAUGCAACAUACAACAGAGACUUUUUUAAAGGACAGAGAAUGCAGUUGACAAAAGGAAUCUGAAAUGGUAUAAGAUUAGAGAAGAUUAAGAACAAUGAAUGUGUAACAUUUUUUUU
Long non-coding RNA from Vigna unguiculata (cowpea), 639 nucleotides. RefSeq lists it as uncharacterized. The record is from RefSeq and is a predicted model, not a curated record. Lineage: Eukaryota; Viridiplantae; Streptophyta; Magnoliopsida; Fabales; Fabaceae.